GGGCCGCCGGGAGUUGUAGUGCGCGCGCAGGGGGAGGGGGGACUACGGGUCCCAGCGGCCCCUGCGCGGAGGCGGCGGGGUCGUCGUCGUCGUCGUCGGUGGCGGCGGCGGCGGCGGGUCCGGCUGAGGCGGCGCGUUCGUCCCUCUCUCCUCUUUCCAUCGGAGCGGCGGGGGAAGAUGGCGGGCGGCGGAAUUUCCGCUACGGGGUCCUCUUCAUAAAUGCUGCCUCAUCAGACCUAGGCUGAAACUUGUACUAUUUGCAGACCUUAGGUCAUUUUUAACAUCUCCGUUUACAGGUAGUAGGACAACUUCAUUUUUUUUGACCCAUUAGGGUUUUGAGGAAUGCGUGCCAUCUCUAGUCAAUCGAGUGAUCUAAUCCUCUCCUCUUCCUUAUCUAUAUAUUUAAAUUGAGCUCAAAAAGGCUUAAUGCCCCAGUUUUAAGACUGAUUACUCCCGCGAGCUUUUAGGUGAAGCUGGCUACAUGGGUCUGCCAGGCUCUGUUACUUAAAGAUUUAGUUGUGGGCAUGGGUAAUGUCUGUUUAUUGUGUGUGAUACUCUCCCAAGUGCUUCGUAGAGUGCUUUGCACACAGUAAGUGCUCAGUAAAUGCAAUUGAAUUGAAUAGGGCAG
RNAcentral lists this long non-coding RNA (628 nucleotides) under Ornithorhynchus anatinus (platypus). RNAcentral's name for it is "lncRNA (ENSOANG00000038912.1)". Lineage: Eukaryota; Metazoa; Chordata; Mammalia; Monotremata; Ornithorhynchidae. The record is from RNAcentral.